GAAAGGACCGCUGCCAGUGCAGCCAAGACGGAGAGCUCCAGCGGUGCGCCUGCGCACUAACCCCAGCGGGCCCUAGCAACCAGAGCAGUGACGGUAGCAACCGCCAGAAUGGCAAAAGCAACAACAAUCAAAGAAGCCCUGUCCAAAUGGG
Molecule: long non-coding RNA, 151 nt
Organism: Rattus rattus (black rat)
Lineage: Eukaryota; Metazoa; Chordata; Mammalia; Rodentia; Muridae
Exons: 2
Source: RefSeq, a predicted model, not a curated record